Molecule: long non-coding RNA, 1039 nt
Organism: Syngnathus acus (greater pipefish)
Lineage: Eukaryota; Metazoa; Chordata; Actinopteri; Syngnathiformes; Syngnathidae
Exons: 2
Source: RefSeq, a predicted model, not a curated record
GCUCGAACGUGUUGCAUCAGCGACAAGCCGACACACAGGUGUAUACGGACGUGCAUGGGUACGGAGCCACGGAUGCUUUAUUUGCCUGCCGAGUGCGUGGAAGGAAUCUCAUUGUGUGUAUGCUCUCUAUUUCUGAUUCUGUUUUUUCCCAAUGGAUUUUUUUCUCUCCAUCCGGACCAAUUCAGAGCGAUUGCUCGGUCAAGCAGAGAUGAUUCAGCAAGUGCGAAGAGAUGCACAUUCAGAUUCUUUUCGGGUCUUUUUGCGGUCUGGGCUUGCUGUCGAAUGGAAAGUUACCAGGAAGCCCUUACCCCAAAAAGCAUCUGCAGAGGAUAUUUACAUCCUGCAAGAUCCUACACACACAAUUUGUCUGCUAUCUUAUUUUUUAAGUGUAUUUCUAUGUCAGUAUUAGCUUCCACGAGUGGUGUGCAAAAGACUCACUGCCGAAGUACAGGUUAGUUAUAUUUAACUUUUACAUUUGAAUUCAUCUUUAAUGUUUUUUUUUAUUUUUAAUUUAGGAAUGAUUUGUACUUCGUUUUUAUGUGCAAUACAUUUUAACAAAAUUAUUAUUAUUCAAGUACAAAAUGUUACAAUGGCUGUCAAUAUGAAAUAUCAUGUGAAAAUUGGUCCCUCCACAAGAGGGCGGAAUAGCACAAGUGUCUCCUGAGCUGGGAUCACGUUUUGUCACUGAUCCAAAUAUUCUUGAUAGCAACCUUGUGUGUUGCAUCAUAACUUUUUAAUCUUAUCUUUGUUAUUAAAUCUAAUCGAUGCAAGUGAUGUAAGUGCACAUUCCAACAUGUGUAUAUGAAUUAAAACCUUAAUGCAACCAAAGCAGAAAGUUGCAGUUAAAUUUGCCAUAUAUGAACGGAUGUUGUUUGGUGUUGUAGAAGAAAAGCAGCUGUAGUACUGCGCACUUCUCAGCGUAUUACAAUAACUAUACAUGUUACUAUAAAUGUUUUUUUUCCCCUUAUAAAUAUUGGCUUGCACAUCAAAAUGUGGUUAUUUUAUGGUUAUUUUAUAAAUAAAGAUGUAAUGUAUUGUA